AGCUGUUCAUUUUAUUUGGUUAAGAGUUUGUCUGCUAACCAAAAGAUUGGCAGUUCAAAUCUACCAGCUGCUC
RNAcentral lists this transfer RNA (73 nucleotides) under Loxodonta africana (African savanna elephant). It matches the Rfam family "tRNA". Rfam says of the family: Transfer RNA (tRNA) molecules are approximately 80 nucleotides in length. Their secondary structure includes four short double-helical elements and three loops (D, anti-codon, and T loops). Lineage: Eukaryota; Metazoa; Chordata; Mammalia; Proboscidea; Elephantidae. The record is from Rfam by way of RNAcentral.